GAAUCUGCCUGGUGGUGGGGGACAACGUUUCCAAAGGAACGCUAAUACCGCAUACGUCCUACGGGAGAAAGCAGGGGACCUUCGGGCCUUGCGCUAUCAGGAUGAGCCUAGGUCGGAUUAGCUAGUUGGUGGGGUAAUGGCUCACCAAGGCGACGAUCCGUAACUGGUCUGAGAGGAUGAUCAGUCACACUGGAACUGAGACACGGUCCAGACUCCUACGGGAGGCAGCAGUGGGGAAUAUUGGACAAUGGGCGAAAGCCUGAUCCAGCCAUGCCGCGUGUGUGAAGAAGGUCUUCGGAUUGUAAAGCACUUUAAGUUGGGAGGAAGGGCAGUAAGUUAAUACCUUGCUGUUUUGACGUUACCGACAGAAUAAGCACCGGCUAACUCUGUGCCAGCAGCCGCGGUAAUACAGAGGGUGCAAGCGUUAA
This 428-nucleotide ribosomal RNA is filed under the name Pseudomonas monteilii. RNAcentral's name for it is "bacterial SSU rRNA". It matches the Rfam family "Bacterial small subunit ribosomal RNA", at positions 122 to 543 of the family's 1533-position model. Lineage: Bacteria; Pseudomonadati; Pseudomonadota; Gammaproteobacteria; Pseudomonadales; Pseudomonadaceae. The record is from RNAcentral.